CCUACGGGGGGCAGCAGUGUGGAAUAUUGGUCAAUGGACGAGAGUCUGAACCAGCCAAGUAGCGUGAAGGAUGACUGCCCUAUGGGUUGUAAACUUCUUUUAUAUGGGAAUAAAAUGUUCCACGUGUGGGAUUUUGUAUGUACCAUAUGAAUAAGGAUCGGCUAACUCCGUGCCAGCAGCCGCGGUAAUACGGAGGAUCCGAGCGUUAUCCGGAUUUAUUGGGUUUAAAGGGAGCGUAGGUGGAUUGUUAAGUCAGUUGUGAAAGUUUGCGGCUCAACCGUAAAAUUGCAGUUGAAACUGGCAGUCUUGAGUACAGUAGAGGUGGGCGGAAUUCGUGGUGUAGCGGUGAAAUGCUUAGAUAUCACGAAGAACUCCGAUUGCGAAGGCAGUUCACUGGACUGCAACUGACACUGAGGCUCGAAAGUGUGGGUAUCAAACAGGAUUAGAUACCCCAGUAGUC
Molecule: ribosomal RNA, 460 nt
Filed under: uncultured bacterium
Lineage: Bacteria
Description: partial 16S ribosomal RNA
Rfam family: Bacterial small subunit ribosomal RNA
Source: RNAcentral